CUGAAAUCCACUUCCCAGUAGAGCAAAGCACCUCACUGCUAUAACUACUGUAUACCUCUCACUACUUGUUCCUAAUCCCACAUCCUCCUCAUCACCAGAGUUCAAAUAAAUCUUUAUUUAAUCUUUAUUACUGAUAAUAAAUCUAAUCUAGAGAGCAAGUUAGACACGUUAGUUAGACAUUACUAGCUAGGACUGGGAAGAGCUUUGUUCUGGUUAGUGAUUUUUAUUAGAAAGCUGUUUCAUCACAUCACUGAGUUAUUUAUUUAUUGAGGUUUAUUUGAAAAGGGACCAUGUACAAUUAUAAACAUAAAUGCGUCCAUUUAAUGCAUCGUACCGAAUUUAGCCAAAAGGCUAAUUUUCAUCCGUCCCUUGGCAGGUUUUGUUACUGUUGUAUAUAAUUGGGUUGUGGCCCCUUUAAGAAAAGUACAAGUAAGGAGUUACGUCACAUGACCUGUAGUCAGGAAGCAAUCAAGCGCGACAGAGAGUAGUGUGUUCAGCAUCUGUUAUAGUAAUAAAUCUGCGAUAUUUGUUUACUUCUUGCUUUGUAGUAGCAUCGUGGUUUCACCUUUCUUGCAAACGUCAUUAAACCUGUGGACAAGGAGAUUAUCGUCUUCAGAGUCUUGAUGUUGGGAAAGUGUUUAUCUGGCUGUCAAGUUAUAUUCAGGACAUAUACUGAGGGCAGCACACAGGCAUGCGUUCCCAACUUCCUGUUUCCUCCAUUUUAUGCUGGUCAGCCCUAUAUAAGCCAGCGGGCUGCACAUGCUCCUUGUCAGAUGGUCUCUUCAGUCUGCCUUGUGCUCCUGAUUAGUCCUCCUGCCUUUUCUUCAGUUCCAGUCUGCCUGGUUUAGACUCUGUCUGUUCCUGAAGCUGACUUCUGCUCUGUUCCUGCCUGCUUUGUCUCUGCCUUGAUUCUGUUACAGAUUCUGGAUUAUUGGACUGGGUUCUGUUACUGAUUCUGGAUUAUUGGACUGGAUUCUGUUACUGAUUCUGGAUUAUUGGACUGGAUUCUGGUACUGAUUCUGCCCAGCCUGCUUUACCCUGGUUUUCGGUUGUUCUAUGGUUGUUAUCUGAGAACUCUGCCAUUUCCAGUGCUUGCCUUUAUUAAAGACUCUUAUUUUGAACUUUGACUGUGUUUUGCAUUUGGGUCCUCACCUGCCUACCCUGACACUAUCUCUCUAAACCAGGGGUCUCCAACUGUUUCUUCCUCUGAGAGCUUGUUAUAUUAUUUGUAAUAUUUAUUUACACAGCUUAUUACCAUAAACUAAACCAGCUGAAUCAGAACAAUCAGUUUCUAGAUUCUACAUGUGUUCAUUUAUAUAUGCAGAGUUUAUUCUC
This is a long non-coding RNA of Hemibagrus wyckioides, 1335 nucleotides long. RefSeq lists it as uncharacterized. The transcript is spliced from 3 exons. Lineage: Eukaryota; Metazoa; Chordata; Actinopteri; Siluriformes; Bagridae. The record is from RefSeq and is a predicted model, not a curated record.